Heterocephalus glaber (naked mole-rat) is the source of this 792-nucleotide long non-coding RNA. Lineage: Eukaryota; Metazoa; Chordata; Mammalia; Rodentia; Bathyergidae. The record is from Ensembl.
AAAUUGAUAAAACUGUCCAGAUGCAAGAAAAAAUACAGAAACCAACACAGCAAGUCCCUGACUUGCGAAUGUUAGAGUUGCAAACCUUCACAGGUGUACUGUGUAAGACUCACUUUGUCUGAUGACAAACGAAUCCAACUUACGAACAUUCUCCUAGAACGGAACUCGGGGACUGAGCUGCAUCAGGGAAAAGAAGGACGGAAACCUGUUACGUUCUCAUAGUCAAGGUGACAGGCUGUGUAUGAUGAGUACUGCUGAAAAUUGUGAAAAUGGAGAAGAAAAGAAAUAUCACCUGCUACAAGGUGUUCAAAACGCGGAAAGAUCAGGAAGCUCUCCAGGACCUGAUCUCCCAGGGAGGGUGCCGUGCACUGGGCGCCAGACAGACAGACGUCGGGCAGUGCCCAAUACCUCCAGGCAGCCUUGGCUGCACCCAGGCCACGGAGAGGCGAGACAUGCCCACCUAGAAGACACCAUGAAAGAGCAAUGAAGACUACAAACCACUGGGCAUGGGCUCCCACCUGGUAUCUCAGCUACUGAGGAGGCUGGAGCAGGAGGAUCCCACGUUCUAGGUUGGCCUGGCAACUCAGAGAGACCUGUCUCAAGACGAACAUGAAGAAGCCUGGGUCUGUGGCUCAGUGGUAGAGCACUGGCCUAACCUCCGUGAGGCCUGAGUUCCAUCCCCAGCACUGAAAAAAAUAUAUGUAUAUGAGCAAACCAGAUCUAUAUGGAAAAAAUCCUGAUGCGUUCCCAAGGGACAGAGGGUCCAGUGGCAGAAAAGAAUGUUUGUCUCGG